This 210-nucleotide long non-coding RNA is filed under the name Gossypium raimondii (Peruvian cotton). RNAcentral describes it as "long non-coding RNA (GRAI_LNC010058)". Lineage: Eukaryota; Viridiplantae; Streptophyta; Magnoliopsida; Malvales; Malvaceae. The record is from RNAcentral.
UCAAAUCGAGUAGUUCGAGUUUUGAUUAUGAAUCAAAUUGAAUUUUACAGUUUGAAUAAUUCUAAUAUACGAUUUGUGUAAAUACAAAGCUUGUAAAUAUCGAAUUAAAUGAUUAUUAACUUUACAUCUCAAAAAAUUAUAAAAAACUAAAAAAUAUAUAAUAAACUUAAAAAAUAUAAAAAACUAAAAACCUUAAACCCUAAAAACCAC